RNAcentral lists this unclassified non-coding RNA (4294 nucleotides) under Hevea brasiliensis (rubber tree). Lineage: Eukaryota; Viridiplantae; Streptophyta; Magnoliopsida; Malpighiales; Euphorbiaceae. The record is from RNAcentral.
UGUUCAUAUUUUUUUCCCAACACACGAACAGGUGCAGCAGAGACCCUGGAAGGAUAGCACUUGAUCAAAGAAGCAAAUAUCAAACAGCACAGCACAACAUUCAGAAGUUGCAAUAUUAAUUGUAAAUUGUUAUUACAUAAUUUCACACCUAGAGCCAAGUUUUAACAGGAAAAAAAGAAGAAACCUCGGCUUUAAAAUGUUUCAUUACGUCUGAUUUAUGUUACAUUUAAUAAGCAUGAACAAGCACAGAGACAUAGGCAAGGCACAUAUGCAUUUGACAGGACAUACCCCUAAAACCUGUAAAUCAUUGAUUUCUUCUGAGAAUCCAAAAAACUGUCACAAUCAGUCACAGCAGCAAAAGGGAUGGUUGAAUGCAUGAGCCUGGAAUUAUCUUGAUCCAUAUUCCCACUGGGUUUCAGGACGUGCUUUGCUCCUGCAGUAAGUUUAAUGGGACCUGAUUUCACCAUACCAUCUGCUUUACAAGAAUCAAAGUCAUGUGAAGUUCCAAGCCCCUCCUUCUCAUCCUCAUUUGGACCACAUCCUACUUCAAUAGCUUUAUUCCCAUUUGAAUUGGGCUGAUGUGCCCCAGCGUUAUGCCAGAUUUCACUGCUAGAUUUCCCUCUCGCCAGCUCUGUGGCUGCAUUUGAAUCUUCACAGAUCGGCCUAGGCAUUUUUGUGGAUCUCAACAAAUCAUCUGCUGUUGCUGCAGGCCUCUUUCUGAUUUUUUUGGUAAUGGUCAGGCAGAUUAAUGCCAAAAGUAUUUGACUUCAUUCUCUCUCCAACAUUAAUGUUGUUCCCAUAGCUCAUGUUCAUGGAAAAAUUUGGAUUAAUUCCUGCACUGAAUGGAAAGAAUGGAGGUUGAACAAACAAUGCUGAUCCAAAUGAACUCUUCAGGUGUGGGUUUGAAACCAUGGAACUAUGAGAAUGGGAAACUGCAGAUGAAUGGUGAAGAGCAGUAAGAAAAUCAGUUCCAGUAGUAUUGCAAUGAUGAUGUUUACCACCCACAUCAGGAAGAGUCUGAGAAGGCAUAGUUGCUGGUUUCACUUGUAUGGUCGUCAACCCUGGAGGCAGGUUCCUAGAGGAGCUUGCAAAAGAAGAUGACUGGACAUGUUUAUUACAAUCAGGGCGUAAGAAGGGAAAGCCAAAGGCUGAUUUCCUUGUAUGUGGUAGAUUCUGCCGGCAAUUUAUUUUAGCAGGUAUCCCACCCAUACAUGGAUGUGUUUCCAGAGAAGAAGACGGUAUCGGCAGCUGAGAGCUGAUACUAACAGUUUCAGCACCAGAUAGAAGUGACUCCUGAAAGUUGGCUCCCUUACAUAUCAUAUCACGAGGAGAGGACGGACAAGCAGAAGGGUGCAUCUGAGAACUAGCAAUCCUGUUAACAGAAAGGUGACCAUUUUGGAAAGCAGCAUUAGUUUUCCAGUUGAAAUAUGGGUGUGAUCUAGAUUCUGAAACUUUCACCCAGAAAUUGCUUUGUGAGGCCUGAUUUUCAGCUUCUAGAGGAUAAAGCAAACUUUCCUCUGAUUUUCCUAAUGCUGGGAACAAAACCCUGUCCUGUUGAAUACGUCUAUCGUGCAAGGAAUUAUCCAGAACAAUACUUGCAGGACGACACUCUUGUAUGAUUUCUUUAUCUGUCCAGAUCUUUUCAUCAUCAAACCCUUGCAUCUCUAUGUUACUUCUCCCAAUUGCAACAUCUUUUCCCAUCAACCUCAUUGUUGGUCGUGCAGUUUCCAGUGCUAUGUUAUCUGAAUUUUCCUUCAGAUGAAUCAUCUGAGUUCCCUUUUGGUUCUGAUUCUGACCAUAUUGCCCCCAUUGAUUGAGAGAUAUAUUCAUCAAACUUGGCCUUGAAUCCGACGGGUGGACACUAUUGUUAGUUCUGCCCUCAGAAUUUAGCAAAUGGACAUCCAGUCUUCCAGUAUUUGGCAACUCAUUAACACAAAAUCUAGCUGGAAAUUGUACAUUAUGAUUCUUCUGUAUAGGUAGCAAAUUUAACUGGCCUUUUGCAACUGCCUGCUCAAUAGGAUGCUUUUCACUUACAAAAUUUCCCAAACUUCCAGGUACGACAGAAUUGCGUGGAGAUGAUCUACUUGCAGUUAUCAAAGUGGACUUCUUUGGCUGUUGGAAACCAACAUUACCACUUGAACUCACCUGCAUUAGUUGACCAUGUGAGUUGAGAGGUAGGCCACAAAAUUCCCCAUCUAUGCACUUUUCACUCAAGGCACCUACUCCUUGCUGGCAGCCUGAAUUCAUAAAUUCCAUUGGAGAAAGAUGAAAAAAUGGUUGGCAUUGCAAAGAUUGCCCACUGAUACUUUUGAUGGAAGAUUGUGGCAUAAAGGAAACCCUCGUGAUUGCACUGUCAAAUGAAGCAAAAUCGCAUGAUGGAGGCUGCAUAGAUGCCCUUGUACUUGCCAACAAACCCCCGGCUGCAAAUCCAUCUUUGGGAUCUUCGAAAUAAUCAACUAACUUUCCUCUUGGAUUGGAAGCCAUUGUUACGUUACCGCAUAACUGAGAAUUUACAUGGAGAUUUUUUGCUUCAUUCAUUGUAGGAAGGAGUCUCAAAAUGCCAGCAUAUGUGGGAUUUUGUGGUGCAGUUUGAUAUCCUUGAUCGAAAAUAUGCAAAUUGUCAUCACGAAUUAUAACUUGGCUUGGGGGUGAUCUAUCUGAGGUAUGCUGCUCUUUUCCUUGAUACGGGCUCAGAAAAUUUGGCAUACCAACAGGAUCAUGAAUACCUGGCAACUGAUUCUUGCUAAUCUUUGUUUGCCGCACACUUCCAUUUCCAGUGCUAACAGAAACAUCACUAGUUCCAUUCACCCUCACAGAAGCUGAUUGUUUAUCAUUUUCUGAGGAGUGGUCAUCCUCCAACUGAGAAGCAAGGGCAUCUCUGUAUGUGCCAAACAUAUUUUGAACAUUGGAACUUAAGUUUCUCUUCCUUGGACCGAGUAUGUCAUCUUUACCUGAGAACCUGACAUGCCUGUCUGAAUGUUGAAGUUCACAACAAUUCGUUUGACUACCACCUGGUAAGUUGCAAAUCUCAGAAUUCUGCUGAGGAAUAAGUUUCAUAUUACUUUUGAGAAUACCACGAACAUGAAUGGCUGCUUUCCGGUGCUUUGCAAUAAAUUUUGAUGCCUGAACACCGUGUUUCUUUUGUAUAGAGCCUUUCAGUCCCAAUCUAUUUCUCUGGAUUGAAACGCCAUCCAAAAUGUCUUUUGCAACCCCUUUAUUGCAAAAUGACUUAUAUGCUUUUGUUGAACAAUCAACGGAAAUUGGCAAUUUAAGCAUCAUAGGACUCCCCUUAUUUGUUAUUGGCCCCUUCUUGUUCUUCAUCUUCUUCUUUUUCAAUUUCUUUUUCUUCUGGUCCAGCAUCAACUUGUUCGCAAUCGCUGCUUUCUUUAUCUUCUUCUUGUUGAUAUUAACCUUUUUUCUUUUCUGCUCAUCAUGCUUUGUCUUCAAAACAUCCAAAUCACCAUCAUCAUGAGCAUGAGGAAAAUCAUCAUCAUCUGCUAUAGCAUCAUCAUCAACAACCCUCUCAAUCUGUGGCGAAACUGCAAAGAUCUCAAUAAUGGAUCUUUUCUUAGGAGAUUUGGAUUUGGCCUUCAAUGACAUUCUCAUAUUCCUUCUAUCCUCUCUUUGAGCAUGAGCAAGACAGCUAUCAACAUGAGCAUUAACCGCUUUCAGAGUGGCCGCCGCGAAAUUCCCACAAACCGGACACACAAUCUCCAAUUUCUCCUCGUCCUCCUCCUUGGCCUCAUUUCCUGGAAUACCAGCAACUCCUUGUUGUUGCUGUUGUUGAAUCUUGCUCAGCUCAUGGGACCACCAGCGGAAUUUGGUGACGGUGAUUGGAGGGAGGAGAGCUUCUAGGCGUUGUUCGCUGAUUUCAUUUUCAUCUGGGUCUUCUCCACCACCACUAGCGCCAAACGGCCAGCAUUUUCCCACAUCCACCGCCCUCAUCUUAGCUGUGUAUUCACGAAUCGAGAAUCCCUCGUCAAAAGCAACCGCCAUGUUUCUUCCUCAACUCCACACAGCACCCACAGCCGUAUGAGACGACCAAAGACUAGCUCACUAGCUAUCUCUCAAAUUCAGAGCUAAAGACACUAAGCAAAACAACUAAACAAGACCCGAGAUCGCUCAGAAAGGAGCUUCACAAAGGGACCCAGAAAUCAAAGACCAAAGAAGGAGGAAGGCAUGGCAUGAUAACAUAAGAGAUGAUGAUGAUAGAGGUAAAGAAGUUCCAUAGAUGAGGAUAGAGAGAGAACGUAAGUGUUAAAUAUGGAAAGAGAGAGAAUAGAGAAGCUUUUAU